CAGAAAGUGACACACUGGUUUCAUACUUGCCAAAGUCUGACCCAGACUGCAGUCAGGGGCAAACCACUGCAUACACACAGCCCCAAGAUAAGCCAAAGGCACGCACGGGGUCACCACGUCCCUAUAUUAAAGCGCUUACUGUCAGCUGUGACCCCCAAGCAGAAGCACAGGCGUCCCUAAUUUGUGCAAGGCUGAGUCUGCAGAAACCCCGGGGCCUCCGGGAACAUGGAAAUCAGGUCUCAUUCAUCUCCCUUAGCUCCAUCAUCCGCAAAGGACGCUUGCCAUCUUGGAGGCUUGCCAUCUUGGGGGAUACUUAACAAGUCCCAGCUGGAUGAACGAGAAGGCGGUGCCUCCUAAGUUCUGCUACUUCCUCCCCUGCACCUCAUCUUGAGCAGCUGGUUGGGAAGACACCCUUUCUUCGUCAUUUACAUUUCAAAGUCUUUGGAUCAUCAGGAAUGUAUCUGAAGCCUAUCACCGUAACUAGCAAGAGGGAAUGCCCCAGGGUUACACCAGAUUGUGGGACCACUUCUUUUUUUUUAAUUUUUUUAAACUUUAACUUAUCAUAUUUUACGUAUGCAAGCUCUGCCUGUAUCUACAGGCCAGAAGAGAGCAUCAGAUCCUGUUAUAGACGGCUGUGAGUCACCAUGUGGGUGCUGGGAAUUGAACUCAGAACCUCUGGAAGAACAGCCAGUGCUCUUAACCUCAGAGCCAUCUCUCCAGACCCUGUGGACCACGUCUAGAAUCCGGUGGUUCUCUAUAAAGCCAGGUUCACAUCUCGCCACUGUUUGUAGACUACCAGAGAUGAACAGAAAGGCUUGGGCAUCGCCCAGUGCUGAUGCUAACACCCCCUGGGUGGAUGAGAUCUGUCUUCUACCUAACAGUAUCAAUUCAGUAACCAAAGUCAGGCUGCAUCAGAAUUUAACAGUCACCACUGUGAACUGCAAUUUGCCUUAUUCUUUCUUAAGUUUGAAACCAAAUAGUGUCCGUGGAAACGAAACUCAAGAUGGGAGAAACUUGGCUGGAUUGCGAUGUAUAUUGGUUGGGAAGACCACACUCUCCAUUCCCGACCUCUCAAAGACCUCUCCAUAACCUAAGUGAUCUUGUCUAGAAGAAAUUAAAUAAAAUUUAAAUAAUUA
Long non-coding RNA from Arvicola amphibius (Eurasian water vole), 1136 nucleotides. RefSeq lists it as uncharacterized. NCBI's taxonomy places the organism in Eukaryota, Metazoa, Chordata, Mammalia, Rodentia, Cricetidae. The record is from RefSeq and is a predicted model, not a curated record. The transcript has 2 exons.